Molecule: ribosomal RNA, 253 nt
Filed under: uncultured bacterium
Lineage: Bacteria
Description: partial 16S ribosomal RNA
Rfam family: Bacterial small subunit ribosomal RNA
Source: RNAcentral
UACGUAGGGGGCAAGCGUUGUCCGGAUUUAUUGGGCGUAAAGCGCACGCAGGCGGUCAAGGAAGUUCAGGGUGACAGUUCCCGGCUUAACUGGGGAAGUGCCUUGAAAACUCCUGGACUUGAGGGCUUCAGAGGGACACGGAAUUCCGGGUGUAGUGGUGAAAUGCGUAGAUAUCCGGAGGAACACCAAAGGCGAAGGCAGUGUCCUGGGAAGCAUCUGACGCUCAGGUGCGAAAGCUAGGGGAGCGAACGGG